RNAcentral lists this long non-coding RNA (4241 nucleotides) under Nicotiana tabacum (common tobacco). RNAcentral describes it as "long non-coding RNA (NTAB_LNC008408)". Lineage: Eukaryota; Viridiplantae; Streptophyta; Magnoliopsida; Solanales; Solanaceae. The record is from RNAcentral.
AGAAAUAGUACAAGUCUAAUGGUAUUAACAUGAAUAACUGAUUUGAAAUACAAUAACGCUCAAGAAAUGGUAAUACAGUGUCAUGAGCUCUAAUAAAAAGUACAAGUCUGGAAUACAGAAUAUUGAUACUGUUUGAAUGAAAAUAACAGUACAAAAGGAAAAGAGACACCAAGACUACGGUCGGGAUGCAACUCUACCUCGUCUCUCCAAAAUGCUCACAACAACACCUCACAGCUAGCCACAACUCAGUCCGACACCUGGAUCUGCACAAUUAAGUGCGGAGAGUACUAUGAGUACAAUCGACCCCAUGUACUCAGCAAGUAUCAUAACUAACCUCGGCGAGGUAAUAAAAGUAAGAAUUAUAAUAAUACUCGCUAAUCACCUGUACAAUUCAUAAAUCCAACAAGUACAGAACAACAAUAUGUUGAAGUCAUGAAUCACAGAAAUAACCAUCUUGGUACACACAAUUACUUAAUGUACUCUGCUCAGUCAAAAAUUCAGCAUAUAAAGAAGAUAUGCAAAUAAAGCAUAUAGCAGUCAAGGAAGUCGCAAGUAAAGAUGAAAUGCAACAACCGAAUCAAACACCGACAAACGUUUCCUCAAUAUUACUAUUUCAGUACCAAACCACUUAUCAGUUUUUCUCAACAACCGUGUGUACAUCAUCAAGAAAGAACAUGAGAGGGUGACCCUAGGGGGAUGGAUCCAUAUCCACACGCUGCACGGACAACUCACGUGCUGCACGGACAACUCACGUGGCGCACGGACAACUCACGUGGCGUACGGACAACUCACGUGCUAAUAAUAUCAAUAUCUAGAUCCGCACGGACAACUCACGUACCAAUAAUCGUAAUCCGUCUGGCGUGGUCACAGUCUCAAUAUCACAAUCCGCCCGACGUGGUCACUGGCUACCAGUCCAGAUCAUAUCACACAGAAAGCAAAUAUACAAGAAUACAUGUACAUGAUCAAUAAAUAUCAAGUUUCAUACUCCUUGACUGAUAUAAAUGACAUGCUAAAAUGUAUGCAUGUACAAAGUGUGCUAUCAUAACUCAAUCCGGCAAAUACAUCACGAAAGUAGCAAUUUAUCAUGUUCAAUCGGGAGAGUAACCUCAACGUAACCUCAAAUAUAAUACAAAUAGCUCACAAAAAGGGUACAAAUAGGAGAAACAUCACAGUAUAAAGCUUAGCAAUCAAAUUAAGGCAUAUCAUAGCCUAAGCACUAUCCCAAGCAUGAAAUAUAACCCGGUGGACGCACAUAGGCGUAGCCCACAUAUGUGUGCCACCCAUAGCACGUAACUAUCAUAAAUGAUUCAGGCAACUAGUGCCUCAACCAAGUUUAGGUAAGAUACUUACCUCAAGCAAGCUAAAUCGAAAGCCCUUCCUGCGUGAGACAUCCUCCGGAUGGCUCGAAUCAAUCCAAAACAACUUAAUAUCAUCAAUAAAAGACAUAGGAAACGAUUCUAAAUGCUAAAGCUAAGAUCCUUAAUCAAAAUCAGAAAGUCAACCCUAGGUUUGCAUCAUGGAACACGUCCAAAUUCACAAAUUCCGAAUACCCACUACGAUACGAGUCCUAAAAUAUGUGCUUCAUCUAAUUUCAAUCUCAAAUCGACUCUCCAAUAUCAUAGUCCAAAAAUCCUACCUUAAAAUAUUAUAAAUUAGAUGUAAUAAUCAAUGGAUAAUCAAUAGCUAACUCCAAAAUUAAGUAGAGAUCACUUACCCCUUCAAUUGUGAUGAAAAACACUCAAAAUAUUGCCCUAAACCGAGCUCCACAAUUCAAAAAAUGAGAAAAAUGACCAAACCUUCGCUAUUAAAUUCUGCCCAGCAAAAUCGCACCUGCGGUCCAUAUAUUCGCACCUACGAUGCUGCGUCUGCAGAAAUACCAUCGCAGAUGCGGAAACAACUAAUCCCCCAUCCAUCCGCUUUUGUGGCUCUGCUUCAGCGGAAGCUAUUGCACAUUUACGCUUACGCACCUGCGCCCUGCAGCUCCGCAUCUGCGGACUACCUCCGCCAGCCUCCUCCUCCGCACUUGUGCUCAAACGGCCGCACCUGCAGCUCCGCAUCUGCGGCCAAGCCACCGCAAAUGCGAAAAUGCCAGAAGCCAAACUCUUCAACAGUCCAUUCAAGCCCAAAAAUAGUCCAAACUCAAUUCGAAACACACCCGAGGCUCCAUCUAAUCGCACUUACCAAUCCUAAAGCAUAACACGAACUUACUCAAUGCCUCAAAUCACACCAAACAACAUCAAAAUCACGAAUCGCACCUUACUUCAAGCCUAAGGAAGCUAAUAAACUUUCAACUUCUAAAACCCAUACUGAACCAUACCAAAUCAACUCUGAAUGACCUCAAAUUUUGCAUGCUAGUCCUAAUGACACAACAGACCUAUUCCAACUUUCAGAAUUAAAAUUCGAACCCGAUAUCAAUAAAGUCAACUCUCAGCCAAACCUAUCAACCUUCCAAACCUUCAACUUUCCAACUUUCGCCAAAAAUACCAAACUAACCUACGAACCUCUAAAUCUACAUCCGGACAUACGCCUAAAUCCAAAAUCACCAUACGAAAUUAUUGGAACCCCUCUAUUCCAAAGCCGUCUACACAAAAGUCAAACUCCGGUCAACUCUUACAACUUAAGCUUAUGAAACUACGAACUUUCGAAUUCUAAAACUAAUGCUGAUUCAUACCACAACAACUCUGUUUGACUUCAAACUUUGCAUACAAGUCAUAAAUGACACGACGGACCUAUUCCAACUUUCAAAAUAGGAAUCCCACCCCGAUAUCAAUAAAGUCAACUCCCGAUCAAACUUUCUAAUCUUCCAAACUUCAACUUUCAAACUUUCGCCAAUUCAAGUUAUAACGACCUACAUACCUCCAAAUCAACAUCCGGACACUCUCCUAGGUCCAAAAAUCACCAACAGAGCUAUUGGAACCGUCAAAACUCCAUUCCGAAGAUAUCUGCACAAAAGUCAAACUACGAUCAACUCUUUCAACUUAAAGCUCCAACCUAGGGACUAUAUGUCCCAUUUCACUCCAAAACUCAUCCGAAACCAAAACCAAACACCCCCAAUAAAUCACAUAACCAUAAUUUAACAUAGAUGAGGCAAUAAUUAGGGGAUCGGGGCUAAAAUACUCAAAACGACCGGGCGGGUCGUUACAGCAUUAUACCAAACUCUUUAAUAAAUAAGUUAAAUUCUUUUAAAGGUUCCUAUUUUAAAAUUUUACAUAGCAUUAUGUCAAACACUUAAAUAAAUAAGUUAAGUUCUUUUAAAGGUUUCUAUUUUGAAAUUUAUUUAGCAUUAUGCCAAACACUUUCAAAAUAUAUUAUAUUCUUUCAAAUUAAAAUUCUCCGACACUCAAAAUUCCAUAUUCAUCCUAAAAUCUAUGUCUAUAAUUAUACUAGUUAAAUCUGAUUAUGCGUGUAUGUGUAUAAAGUCCGAAUAUGACUAAUGAAUGAUCAAAUCCACAUAAUUCAUUCUAACCUAGCAAACUAAAUGGGCAAAGCUCCGGCUAAGGAAAGAGAGGCAGAGAUAUGGAGGGUGCUUCUCAUGGUAUGUCGAGUCUUUCAAAAAUACACUAUCUAAGAUGCUUCCAAGGGCGACAUUAAUCACUAAACUAGAUUGGAUACAAAAAAUAAGUAAAGAGAAAAUAAAUUAGAUGUUCUUUAAAUCUAAAUAGAAAAUAGAAAUAUUAGCAAUAAAAUCGAAUUAGGUACUAAAACAAAUAAAGAGAAAAAAAAGUACUUACUACAUUGUCGUUGUUGCCGCCGGAGUCCGCCGAAGAUCUGCCAAGUUCCUCCUGAUUGUCAUUGCAACAUGUAACUGAAAAAGAAUAAAAAAAUAAAAAAAAUAAAGGCAAGGUCAGCGGCGGAGGCUGGAUCUCCACGAAGGAGGUUCGAAAAAAAAAAGAUAGUAGCUAGUGGGAAUUGAUCGUAUGACCUUUCAAAGAUUUUGAACCCCCUUGACCACUGAACUACACUUUUGGGUUGUGUCAAGGGGGUUCAAAACUUAAUAUAUAGAAGUGAAAAAUAGAUUUUGCCUUAUAUUUACAGUGUAAUUUUUCGACGAAAGGAGUUCGGAUGAACCUCUUCCGCCCCUAAAUCCGCCCCGGGGCAAGGUAACAAGCAAAAUGAGCUCUACCGCAUAGAAGAUGGAUGAGAGAGAGGGAGAGAGAGACUAACCAAAAAGAGCUCUGUUGCAAUUUUAGAAGUAGAGAGAGAGUAAGAGAGAGAGAGGAGAGAUAUAGAGAGGGGAAAGA